Molecule: ribosomal RNA, 253 nt
Filed under: uncultured bacterium
Lineage: Bacteria
Description: partial 16S ribosomal RNA
Rfam family: Bacterial small subunit ribosomal RNA
Source: RNAcentral
UACGAAGGGGGCUAGCGUUGCUCGGAAUUACUGGGCGUAAAGGGCUCGUAGGCGGCCAACUAAGUCAUACGUGAAAUCCCUCGGCUUAACCGGGGAACUGCGUCUGAUACUGGAUGGCUUGAGAUUGGGAGAGGGAUGCGGAAUUCCAGGUGUAGCGGUGAAAUGCGUAGAUAUCUGGAGGAACACCGGUGGCGAAGGCGGCAUCCUGGACCAAUACUGACGCUGAGGAGCGAAAGCCAGGGGAGCAAACGGG